This 817-nucleotide long non-coding RNA is filed under the name Canis lupus familiaris (dog). RNAcentral describes it as "lncRNA (ENSCAFG00030012026.1)". The record is from RNAcentral. Lineage: Eukaryota; Metazoa; Chordata; Mammalia; Carnivora; Canidae.
CUCUAAAAAUGUGGAAAUUCCAAAAACAAUCUGAAAAUCCACUUAAGUGACAAGAAAGAAAGGGAAACUGUGACACUCACUGUAAUUAGCCUAAUUUAAACUUGCCAAUGUCUGUCAUAGGAGUUUUGUGUGCAGUAAGGCCUGCUUCCUUACUCCAGAAGGCCAGAAUUUCCACAAUGUAUUUUCUCACCAAAAUAACCAGUUAACAUGAAUUAGAAAAAUGGUAAACAUUAUUCAUCCACCAACUGUAAAUAUUAACAACUCUUCAUGUUACUUGCGGGCUGUUUUCACACUAUUAAUUUGCAAUCAUGUAAAGGAACCAAGGUUCGUGAGUUGCCUGGAGCCAAAUGAACCUUGGGCCAGAAUUAGGAUUAGAAUUCAAGGGUUAGUGCCUUCUGUAUUUUGCUUAUAGAGUAAAUUUCUUCCAGUAAUAGAUAAAUUACUUAGAUGACCCAGUGUGUUGAUUUUAGGCCCAGAUCUUCCCGAUAUUGAGGCAACCUCUCCUUACCAACCUGGUUGGUAAUAUCAUCUUUACUUUCUUCACAAUUGGUUUUUCUGUGCUGCUUACGCAGAUGGAACCAGUCCCGCAGGCACUCAAGAGGAUAUUUGCUGUAUUUGGUGUGGGAUCCUUUGGUGAAGGAGUCUGUACCACGGUGUUAACAGUUUUGGCAACUGACUGUGAAAAAACAACCCCUGAACUUUACUACUUGUCUGUGCUGCUGUCGGUGAGCAGCUUGGUUUCUACAGUGUCUUCUCUUCCCUCUCCUCACCCUCCUCCAAAGCCUAGAUUCUGUGUUUGUUUGAGAACCAGAACCCA